GCAUAAUUGUCUAAUGGAUAGGAAAGAGGUCUUCUAAACCUUUGAUAUAGGUUCAAAUCCUAUUUGACGCA
This 71-nucleotide transfer RNA is filed under the name Nicotiana attenuata. It matches the Rfam family "tRNA". Rfam says of the family: Transfer RNA (tRNA) molecules are approximately 80 nucleotides in length. The record is from Rfam by way of RNAcentral. Lineage: Eukaryota; Viridiplantae; Streptophyta; Magnoliopsida; Solanales; Solanaceae.